GAUCCUGGCUCAGGAUGAACGCUGGCGGCAUGCCUAAUACAUGCAAGUCGAACGAGAGGAAGGAAAGCUUGCUUUUCUGAAUCUAGUGGCGAACGGGUGAGUAACACGUAGGUAACCUGCCCAUGUGCCCGGGAUAACUUCUGGAAACGGAUGCUAAAACCGGAUAGGUAGCAGACAAGCAUUUGACUGCUAUUAAAGUGGCUUUGGCCAUGAACACGGAUGGACCUGCGGUGCAUUAG
RNAcentral lists this ribosomal RNA (239 nucleotides) under uncultured bacterium. RNAcentral's name for it is "partial 16S ribosomal RNA". It matches the Rfam family "Bacterial small subunit ribosomal RNA", at positions 15 to 244 of the family's 1533-position model. The record is from RNAcentral.